RNAcentral lists this unclassified non-coding RNA (354 nucleotides) under uncultured Actinomycetes bacterium. RNAcentral describes it as "uncultured actinobacterium contains 16S-23S intergenic spacer region". Lineage: Bacteria; Bacillati; Actinomycetota; Actinomycetes. The record is from RNAcentral.
CUCGGUAUUGCCCUCGGCUUGAUCCGUUAGGGGUUCACCGAUAUGAGCCGGUGUUUCCACAGGGGAUUACUCCCCUGGGGGCCAAUCGUCGAUUAGCCAUGCAACACCUAUCGCAGGCCCUUACGGACACCACGUUUCCGUGGCUUUUCCUGCGUAGUUCAGCCCAGGUAAGGUUCUUCGCGUUACAUCGAAUUAAGCCACAUGCUCCGCCGCUUGUGCGGGUCCCCGUCAAUUCCUUUGAGUUUUAGCCUUGCGGCCGUACUCCCCAGGCGGGGUGCUUAAUGCGUUAGCUUCGGCACAGAAGACGUCGAUAGCCCCCCACACCUAGCACCCAUCGUUUACGGCUGGGACUAC